GGCAAAGCAGUGUGUGGACUCUUCUGGAUCCCAGAGACGACAUGCAGGAAAAUUAUGAGAACGUGAUCUCUUUGGCAGAGGAAAUUGCAAUCAGCUGGCCCCGGAUAACUGCUUUUGCCGAAUCUCACAGGAGAAGAGGACUGGCACCUGUUUCUUUUCCCAGACCCCAGGAGUUACUGGAUUCUCUCGUUGUUCCAGCAGAUGAUGGGAUGGUGAGUGACAAUGGGAAUGAGGAGGAGGAGGAGGAGGAGGAAGUGG
Euleptes europaea (tarantolino) is the source of this 258-nucleotide long non-coding RNA. RefSeq lists it as uncharacterized. The transcript is spliced from 3 exons. The record is from RefSeq and is a predicted model, not a curated record. Lineage: Eukaryota; Metazoa; Chordata; Lepidosauria; Squamata; Sphaerodactylidae.